AUACGGAGGGGGCUAGCGUUGUUCGGAUUUACUGGGCGUAAAGCGCGCGUAGGCGGGCUGGUCAGUUGGGGGUGAAAUCCCAGGGCUUAACCCUGGAACUGCCCUCAAUACUGCCAGUCUUGAGUUCGAGAGAGGUAAGUGGAAUUCCUAGUGUAGAGGUGAAAUUCGUAGAUAUUAGGAAGAACACCAGUGGCGAAGGCGGCUUACUGGCUCGAUACUGACGCUGAGGCGCGAAAGCGUGGGGAGCAAACAGGAUUAGAAACCCCGGUAGUCC
This 274-nucleotide ribosomal RNA is filed under the name uncultured bacterium. RNAcentral's name for it is "partial 16S ribosomal RNA". It matches the Rfam family "Bacterial small subunit ribosomal RNA", at positions 523 to 796 of the family's 1533-position model. The record is from RNAcentral.